GACGAACGCUGGCGGCGUGCUUAACACAUGCAAGUCGAACGGUAAGGCCCUUCGGGGUACACGAGUGGCGAACGGGUGAGUAACACGUGGGUGAUCUGCCCUGCACUUCGGGAUAAGCCUGGGAAACUGGGUCUAAUACCGGAUAGGACCAUGCGCUUCACGGUGUGUGGUGGAAAGCUUUUGCGGUGUGGGAUGGGCCCGCGGCCUAUCAGCUUGUUGGUGGGGUAAUGGCCUACCAAGGCGACGACGGGUAGCCGGCCUGAGAGGGCGACCGGCCACACUGGGACUGAGACACGGCCCAGACUCCUACGGGAGGCAGCAGUGGGGAAUAUUGCGCAAUGGGCGAAAGCCUGACGCAGCAACGCCGCGUGCGGGAUGACGGCCUUCGGGUUGUAAACCGCUUUUGUCCCGAUAGACAUAUCGGGAAGAAUAAGCACCCGCUAACUACGUGCCAGCCGCCGCAGUAA
This 467-nucleotide ribosomal RNA is filed under the name uncultured bacterium. RNAcentral's name for it is "partial 16S ribosomal RNA". It matches the Rfam family "Bacterial small subunit ribosomal RNA", at positions 28 to 523 of the family's 1533-position model. The record is from RNAcentral.